This 1251-nucleotide long non-coding RNA is filed under the name Homo sapiens (human). RNAcentral describes it as "novel transcript". The record is from RNAcentral. Lineage: Eukaryota; Metazoa; Chordata; Mammalia; Primates; Hominidae.
CAUCUUGUGCUGUUUUAUGUUCUGAGAAGGAUUGAUUACCACAAAGACAGAUCUAUAGAGAAUGUGAGUGGAAACUAUACGAGCUGCUAACGGGACAAGGCAUUUAAGAAUCAUCCGAGUUCUGCUCUUCUUGCUGGCUGGAGCUAAGAAUUCAAGAACAAACACCAGCAAAGAGAUUCAAUACAAAUAUCCAAUUUUGAGAUAAGGGAUGGAUAACCAUAGUGCAUGCCCUCAGAACUUUUAAUCUUUAUGAAACAUUUGAAGACCUCGAGAAAGGACAAUACCCUUGGUUCUAUACAGAUGCUGUCAUGAAUUCAUCUUAUAUCAGUUUCAUAAUCCAUGUAGUCAAAUACCAUUGAGGAUAGUUGUGUGGUCACUAUGUUGUAAUAUCAGACAAAGAUGACAGUGAAUCUGCAAAAGAAGAAAGCAUUCUGAGAACCACUGAUUCCAGAGCAGGUGAAGGAAAUUUGAAAACGUAUGAAGAAAGAGACAAACAUUGGAGUUAUGCUGCCAACAACCAAGGAACAUCUGGGGCUACAAAAAGCUGGAAGAGGCAAGGAUGGACCUUUCUCUACAAGUUUCAGAAGGAGCACGGCCCAGUCCACACCUUGAUUUCAGAUUUCUAGCCUUCAGAACUGUGAGACAAUAUAUUUCUGUUGUUGAAAGCCACUCCAUUUGUGGUAUUUUGUUAUGGCCCUAGAAAACUAAUCAAUAGAUAUUAAGGUGAGAAAAAUAGUUUCAUUGCAAAAUAAUUUCUCCACAGCAAGUUCUAAGAGUGAACAUACUUUUAAAUGCAGCUAAAUAAAAAUGAAGAAUGUCUCAGUGACUUUACUGUAUUAAUGGCUAUCUUGAUGCUCCUAGAGGAGAAUUGUAACAUAAAAUAUUUUCAUUUCUUAAUUAGUUUUGUUUGUUAGUUUUUGUUUUUUUAGAUACAGAGCACUCUCCUGUUGCCCCAGAUGGAAGGUAAUGGUGCAAUCAUGCGCAAUCACACCUCACUGCAGCCUCAACUUUCUGGGAUCCAGUGAUCCUCCUGCCUCAGCCUCCCAUGUAGCUGGGAACACAGAUUUGCACCACAGCACCAGGCUAAUAUAAAAAUAUUUGUUAGUGGAACAAAACAUUUUCCAUACUGGUCAUGUCACAUAACUACUACUCAAUGGAAGCUAAUUUGGGAAAUGCAGAAUGUCAAAAUUAAAAUAAUUACCAUAAUACCUAGAAAAUUCAAAGCAACUUCUUAUUUUCCUCCAGGCAAAG